CACGUAGGAGGCGAGCGUUGUCCGGAAUCAUUGGGCGUAAAGAGCGCGCAGGCGGCUUGGCAAGUCGGGUGUGAAAUCCCGGGGCUCAACCCCGGGACUGCAUUCGAUACUGUCAGGCUAGAGGUAGGUAGGGGAGAUCGGAAUUCCUGGUGUAGCGGUGAAAUGCGCAGAUAUCAGGAGGAACACCGGUGGCGAAGGCGGGUCUCUGGGCAAUUCCUGACGCUGAGGCGCGAAAGCGUGGGGAGCAAACGGG
This 253-nucleotide ribosomal RNA is filed under the name uncultured bacterium. RNAcentral describes it as "partial 16S ribosomal RNA". It matches the Rfam family "Bacterial small subunit ribosomal RNA", at positions 524 to 776 of the family's 1533-position model. The record is from RNAcentral.